This 21-nucleotide small nuclear RNA is filed under the name Arabidopsis thaliana (thale cress). Its description in RNAcentral is "snRNA_17562". The record is from RNAcentral. Lineage: Eukaryota; Viridiplantae; Streptophyta; Magnoliopsida; Brassicales; Brassicaceae.
UUUCUUACCAAUAAAACGCAA